GAUCACGUGACAACGUCCUCGCGUCGGGAGCGUCUUGAGUUUGAAGCGGGAGAGAUAGUCCGGGUUCUGCGGUUUGCUCUUCUGAGUCUUAGGAAGACGCUUUGGGUCUUGGGUUUUCUCGUUUGCAAAAUAGCUCGGUUGCGGUAGAGCUUCUUCCAGAAUUUGUUCACGUAAAAACAGAAACUCUUAUUUGGAGGAAGCGGGGGGCGGGGUAGGCAAACCUGUUAAUGUUAAAUCAGCCUUUUUGUACUUGAGGGGAAUUGUCGCUGCACGUAACUAACGGUAUUUUAUAGUUUCCAAAUGGUUUUCACAUCAAUGUCUCGUUAAAAACGCCUUACUACGCUGACAUAUGGGCGGGAGUCAACUUGACCUGCUUUUUCGUUAUAAAAAUUACCCUCGGAGAGGAUGCGGACUGAAAGUUGAAAUUGUCGACCCGAAAGUUGACAAUUACGUUUUAUUCGCACACUUGCUGAGGACCUAAACCUGGGAUGUAGCGGCUCAGAUCUCUUAGGUGGACUGUUCUGAAGAGUCCGAUGAUGACCAAGGCAAGCAAAUGGGAUAAGACCAGGCUGCCAGGUGAAGGCUUCAUCUCAGGAACAGUGAAGCGUCCUCAGCCUUAAAAAGGUAGGCGUUCCCGUUGUGGCUCCACAGGUUAAGAAUCCAACAUAGUGUCUCUGGGGAUGCGGGUUCGAUCCCUGGCCUCACUCUGGGUGGAGGACCUGGUGUUGGUGGCUGUGGUGUAGGCCUUCACUGCAGCUCCGACUCAGCCCCUAGCCUGGGAGCUUCCGUAGGCUGCUGGUGCAGCUGGAAAAGAGAAAAACAGAAAAAAGAACGAAAACGCUAAGGGCGGGAAUGGCGCUUAGGUUUCUGCUUCCUUGCCAGGUCAGACGGGCGCAGCGUGCUGGGAUUGCUCUGCUGAGGUUUUGAAGCCACCCCGGCUCCCGGGAGUAUGCUGUCAUCUACUACCGAUCCCUGGUGUGGGCAGGGGGAGGGCAGGAGGGUUGGAUGUGACGGAGCCCUUCUGUCUCUGGCUGAGAUGUUUCUCAGUGGGAGCACUGGUGGCACUGUGGAUGGAUGGGUCACUUCUUUGCUGUGCGGGGCUGUCCAGCAGGGCCUUCGUGGCAGGGCCUUCGUCCAGUGGUGCUAGUAGGACCACUCCCGUCCCUGUGACAAGCAAGAGUCAACCCCCCCACAUGUUUUUAUGGCUCUACUUGAAAAUCGCUAAGUUUGACCAAGAGUGUCUUGGCAUGGAUUUAGCUGAGGAUUGCCUAGAUCUUCUUAAAUUCUUCAAGGAAAAAAAAAAAUGAGAAUGAGGAUUUUCCUUAUAGAACCUGAGAACGGACUUGCCCGUGGCGAUGGGUGGGACCUUAGAGUGGAGUUGGGAACGAAGAGCCCAGUAAAGGGAAGAAGAUGCUCAUGAGGACGGGGAGGCAGGGAGGACCUGACAGCAGGUGCUUCACUUGUGAUCCCUGGUUGAGGAAAGGCCACGGGGCGCCUUGGCUGUUGGGGAAGGGGUAUCCUGUUCAACAUCAGUGUCAUUUGGGGUACCCUCAUCCCCCUUAGGGCUCCAUUAUCUCCAGGUGUGUUCUCGGGUCGGCGUGUUGGCUCCCUCCGACAGCCCUCAGAGAGCUGCCCCUACUCUGAACCCACGGAAUCAUACCAGCCACCUGAACCUACUUUUGGAGCAAGGUAGCACAUGAGCCAAGGAAUGCAUAAAGAAAUUAUUUCCUACCCCUUAAUUUAAGAGUUCAAGUAUCACCUGUUUUCAUAUUCGUCACACCCCCGUCAGUGCGCCUGCAGAGAAAAAUGAGAAGAGAGGGUUUCAACAGCAGACACGACACGGUGGCCACGUUCACGUUUUGUGUUUGUCAAAGACCCAGGAGCACUUUAGUGGAACAGGUUGGGUUUGUUCUUCUUCUCCACGAGGGACAGUACACACGGGAGCCACGGUGUCGCUCAGGGAAAGGUGGCUAGGAUUUGUUCUAAGAUUUGGGAUUGUUAGGUCGAUGUGGGAGAAUUUUAAGAAACACUGGCUUUGCCCUGGAUCAGAUGCCCUCAGGAAGUGGGAGUAGUUCUGGGAUUUGGUAUCUUAAAAAGUCUUCCUGCGAAGGAGGGAAGGAUGGCCACAGGCUAACGUUGUAACUGGAAACGCAGUAGCACCCACUCACCCUCUCAAGUUUGGAUAAUGUUUAGGUUCUGCCUUUGUUCAGCCCUAAUUGUGGGGGAGCUCUGCCUUUGUCUGGCGUCGUCCUGGUUACAGCAGGGCUUUGUUGGGUGUUCAGGGUGAAAUGGGCUGUUAGGCAGGAGAGCAUCGAGGCCCAGCCCCGAGGAGCAGGCCUGACCGAAGCAGUGCCAGGGCCAGCUCCUGCCUUUGCCCGAGGUUGUCUCUCUCUCGCAGGUUCUACCCUUUUCAUCGUCGUUCGUCUUCUUGCUCCCGUGCUGGACUGUGAGUUGCACGAGGGCACAGACUCGUUUUGGUUGAACUGAGGACCCAGGAUUGAGCCAAGUCUCUCAGUUUCCUUAAAAAUACCUAAAAGAGUAUUUCCCGAAUCAACAUGUGAAUUGUUCAAUUAGCUUAUCAGACUGGGAAUUGCUCCUAACAGGGCUUCCUUCCCGCUCAGCUCUGGGUUUCGAGAAACAAAUGCGCUUCUGGUCCAUCGCAGUAAAUAAGUCCUCAGUUAAAGGGAAGCUUCCCAUACGAUGAGGUUUAUUGAUUUUUUUUAAAAGUAAGGGAAUAGAGUGAAUUCCACUUCUUGAAGGGAAGAUGAGGCUUGGUUCAGACCGGUUCACUCAUGACAAACGAAGGAAAAUCACUUCUCAUUCAAAAUAUUUAGGCCCGGUGACAUUUUCCAAUGUGUUUGACUCGAAGGGUGAGCUGCAAAGCUCUAGGAAAAAUGGAUGUAAAUAUUGAGUGAGCACGUGUAUGAAAUACCUCUCCCUCCUCCUCUAGUUGUCCCAGUGGAGAGAUUGGGAGCAAAGACGCAUCUUGAUUUGUAAACUCUUGAUUUGUGCGUGACCCGACCCACCUCCCCCCUCCCUGUUCCCUUUGCUCUGGAGACCCCUUGACUUUGGAAUCAGGGUGAAAAGUUAUUAGGGCUUUUAGCAAAUGCGGACGCUUGUAUGUUAAGAAGCAGGGGGAGGGGGAAACAAGGACCCCCUGAGCAAUCCUGGGAAAAUCGUUUUCCUUUUUUGAAGCCGAAUUAACCUUAUUUGUAACAUGAGCAUAAUUAGGGUGCCUACUGAAUACACUCUUUGAGGCUCCCUGUGAAAGUGCUGUGGGAACUGCAGACAGAGAGGAUUCCUCUGGGGGGGGGGAGUGGGGGGCAAGGAGCACAGUGGUCAAGACAAGAGAACCACAGCCGUGCGGAAAACAUAAGGGAGAAAUUUGCAAAGCCGGUUACUUCGUUUCAUGGUUAAAUGUGAUUAAAUUAUCGUCAGUGGACUUUAGCUAUUGCAUUUUUCAUGCAAAAGUAGCCCAUUAAAAAAUGAACGGUAGUCAUGUAGGAAAUAAAAAAAAAAA
RNAcentral lists this long non-coding RNA (3520 nucleotides) under Sus scrofa (pig). RNAcentral describes it as "lncRNA (ENSSSCG00015017005.1)". The record is from RNAcentral. Lineage: Eukaryota; Metazoa; Chordata; Mammalia; Artiodactyla; Suidae.